Molecule: non-coding RNA, 221 nt
Organism: Ceratotherium simum simum (southern white rhinoceros)
Lineage: Eukaryota; Metazoa; Chordata; Mammalia; Perissodactyla; Rhinocerotidae
Source: RefSeq, a predicted model, not a curated record
UGAGGAAGAUUGUGGGAGCCCCUCCUCCAGAAAUUGAAUAAAUACAAUUCCUGGCUGCACCAACUCUGGCAUCACAACCCCCACCAUGACGGCAUUCUGGGCAAGGUUCCUUCAGUCUACAGUACCCACCACAGAGGGCCACCCCUCCAUCCUGGCUCUAGUCUUCCCCCCUCUCACUGGCAAGUGGUUAGGAAAGCCGACUGGGGGGUGGGUCAGACAAG